AGCGUGAUAGCUUAAUGGUAAAGUUUUGUGCUACGGACACAAAGUAUAAGAGUUCGAAUCUCUUUCACGUUU
RNAcentral lists this transfer RNA (72 nucleotides) under Phlyctis boliviensis. Its description in RNAcentral is "tRNA-Arg". It matches the Rfam family "tRNA". Rfam says of the family: Transfer RNA (tRNA) molecules are approximately 80 nucleotides in length. Lineage: Eukaryota; Fungi; Ascomycota; Lecanoromycetes; Phlyctidaceae. The record is from RNAcentral.